UCAUAUUUUUCUCUUUAAUUUCUUAUGAGCGUGGGGGCCCUCACAGCCUUAUGGCUGUUGGAUUCCAACGUCCCCAAACUUGUAGCAAGUUUGGUGAUGGCCCCUGUUGUUAUUCACAUCAGAGAAAACCUAUAACUAACCUCUUCUGCUUUUGUUUUCCAAAGUGCAGAGGUGGGAACAAGUAACAAGCAGUAAAGGAGAGGAAUAUUAAAAAAAAAAGCAGUAUCGACAGUUCUCUCUUCAAACUGAAAAAAAGAUUUAGUUGCAUCAAGCCAGCCAACUUGUGCACCUUUUUAAGAUGACGAACUACAUUCCACAGUUCCUGUCAAUUUUUGGGGUUUUCUAUUCAGGCCUUUUUGUCUGGAACCAAGAUAUUGCUUGCGUGUUUGGGGUCGUUGUCUUGUUGAAGCACCCAUUUCAGGGGCAUUUUUGCGCUACCGUGCUUCAAACCUGGUAUGCACUAAACCGAAAAAGAAAGUUUUACUCAUCAGUCCACAGAAUGUUAUGCCAUUUCUCUUCAGGCCAAUCAAUUAAUGUUCUUUUGGCAAGUUUUAACCAAUUCUGAACAUGCAGGGUCCCCCCCCCCCCCAACAAUGGUGCUUUACAGGGGCUUCUUCGUGAUUAGCUUUGCUUUGAUCAAACGUCUUCUAAAAUUAUCUGAGAGUACUGUCAAGGCCAAUUUAUGCUGACAACGCAGUCCUCGCAGAUGGCGUCGCAGAUAGCAUCUGUGUAGCCCCCCUACCUUCGCAGACGCUCUGCGUGCACCUCCCAAAAAUUGUGACCACCGCAGAAGCCUUGCAGACAGCGUCGCAGACAAGAGGGCUCUGAUUGGUCCACUCUGCAUCCGCUGUACACGCACUUCUGCUUCACGACCGCCAUUUUUAAAAACACGAGUGAAGAUGGAGCAGCACGAAGAACGGUUGAUCGAGGAAGUGAGGAAGUACGGACAUCUAUACGACUCCAGUUCUAGUCAUUAUAAGUAACCGGAGGAUAAACACUCCACUAACCACACCCACCAACUACUCCUAGCGACUUCGCGCCCCCUUGCGUUGUGGCGGUGAAUAACAUCGCGCACGCCUAUUACUCCCCGCUCAACGAUAAAUUACAACUGUCUGCGAAAAGCUAUCUGCGAAAGCCUUGUUGCAAGAGCAUGCAGAGGCCUUCAGUCAGAUCACCUUUGAUCUUUCUGGAAGAGGUGAUUAGCUGAAUCGUUGCCGUUUUGGGGUUUUGUUGCACUUCCUCCCCCCCAAUCAAAUUAUGUUGUGCCUCUGAACAUCAUUUGGAACGCCCUGUUUUACUUCGUAGUUCAGAAGGAAGUACAUUUUAUAACAAACUAUUGAAACAUUUGCUUCCCUUCUCCCUUAAUGACUUUUUUUUUCACAGAAUGAAUGAGUCAAAUACUCAGAAUGAGCAGCGUGCAUGUCAUGACAAUUGGGUCUGUUUCUAUUCCACUACAAUGAAUGACAGUGGUUCGUCAGGUUACUGAUGAUGUACUGCUAUUUUUUUGAACACUAGUAUUUAUCAACACUACCCAGUUGAUAAAUAGCUUCUCUUCAGUAAAAAAAAAAAGUAGUAGUUCUAUCAAGUUCAGGAAAUGUGGUUAAAAUAAUAGCUUUCCAACACUGCCAGCAUACAAAUGUAGAUAAAUUAUUAAUAACUAACUUACCCCUGGAUUGCUAUAAUCCUUCUUGUGUAUAUAAAUUUGAACACAACUGUAUGUAGGUCUGUUGUUCUUCGUGUAGCCUUUAAGGCCAAAUGAGAUUGACUAAUGCUUAUCCAUAAUGUUUAAGUGCACUUAAAAGUUGUUAAUUCUUGGUAGGUAGAUUGUUUCAACCUGCUCAAGAGUAUUUAAACAUUGGUGUUAGUCAAGUUGCAACUCGACCUACAAAUAAUGAGUCCACACUUUGGCAAAAGUGAUACCUGGUUCACCAAGUUGGUGUUAUUAGACCCCUCAUAUACAUCAGGGCUCGACGUUAACUUUUAAACCCACAGAAUAGUUGUGAAGUGCAACAUAAAAUGAUCACACAUUCGAGUUGAAGUUUGUAUGAAGAAAAAACAAUAGGGCGUCUAGACUUUUUUGAACAGUACUGUGUUUGAGAAUAUUUAUAUAUUGGGGUUUUUUGUUAUCCACCUUUUGAGUUUAAAACUAUUUAGGUUGUGGGUGUUUUAUACAGACCUGGCAACCUGCAUCAGUGCAGCUGGUCUGUCAUGACAAACAAAGCUCUCUCUGCUCUGAAUCUGUUCUUUCAGAAUUUGUUGAGCUUUUUUAUGCCCAAGUUGUUUGAAACCAGUCUGUGUUGAAUAAGGAAGCAAUUUCACCUUUUAAUAAACUCAAACACUUUCAUGCAGGAGCUAACUCGAAAAAAAAAUGAGAUUCUUAAGUAAACACUUCCAUCCUCCCUUCUGACUUUAAAUAUAAUCGUGAAUUUCUCUGGAGUUUUCAGGCUGAGCUGUCUUCAUGUUCUUGGAGACAGUAAUGCCUUUUAUCUGUUUAAACAAGCAAAAACAUCAUGGAUAAGGGGUCUAUAAAAUAACGGCAGAUAUGUAGUGAGGGACGCUUUUAGGAACUAAAAUCAAAGAGCCUCAUUAAGCAUUGGCCGGGGCAAGUUAAUGUCGAGCCCUGCACAUAAGUAAAAUAUACAGGGUUGGUCAAAAUUAUGUUAACACUUAAAUGGUAGAAACCCAUCGGCUCUCUAGUGGAAGCUCAUCAACGGCGUUCUGCUGCCGCGGCUCACCACACAUUCAGGAGAAAAAUAAUCCAUUAGUGUUCACAUAAUUUUGACUAACCCUGUUGUGGAACAGGAACUGAUAUGCAGCAAAAAUCUAAAGCAUGAAAGGAAUACUGAGUGUACAUGAGCAAUUUCUUUCACAUCAGAUACUGAUCAUCUCAGGUUAGCCUUUUAAAAUGUAAGUUUUUGACCCAAAUCUUUCCUAAAUGGUUUGCCUUCGACUCACCGUGGACCAGAGCAAUUUUACAUGAUCUAUUAACAGAAUUGUGUCCGAAUUGAAUUGAAAUCUCCUUUGUACUAUUAGUGGGAUAGAUUGUCAGCAGUAAAUUCGUUGUUGCUUCGAGACCUGAAGACAAACUUAAAUUGGCUCCGUUUUGAUGCUUUUGCUCAUGCUUUAAAUUUUUGUUCUCAAAAUAAACGUGCUGCUUUCCUUUAUUGCUGUUAUGUUGCAUGUCUGUAAACUUGCACACACUUGGUACUUCCAUCACUUCAGAAGUAGUCUUCAUUGUGUGAUGUCCUCGGCUCCAGUGGUACAAUGUGGAUAAGUAACAAUUUAAAACGUUAUUUUAAUGGAUAAUAAUGAAAAUGCUAUUACAUUUCAGAAUUGUGUAUUUGUAACUUAAUGUAAAAUGGGGUUUUUAAUACAAACACUGGUUUAUCAUUCAUUGUUUUCCUCUAUCAGUGAAAUAAAGUAUACAUAAAGACUG
This is a long non-coding RNA of Neoarius graeffei (lesser salmon catfish), 3436 nucleotides long. RefSeq lists it as uncharacterized. The transcript is spliced from 2 exons. NCBI's taxonomy places the organism in Eukaryota, Metazoa, Chordata, Actinopteri, Siluriformes, Ariidae. The record is from RefSeq and is a predicted model, not a curated record.